CAGUAGCCGCGGUAAUACGUAGGUGGCAAGCGUUGUCCGGAAUUAUUGGGCGUAAAGGGCUCGCAGGCGGUUUCUUAAGUCUGAUGUGAAAGCCCCCGGCUCAACCGGGGAGGGUCAUUGGAAACUGGGAAACUUGAGUGCAGAAGAGGAGAGUGGAAUUCCACGUGUAGCGGUGAAAUGCGUAGAGAUGUGGAGGAACACCAGUGGCGAAGGCGACUCUCAGGUCUGUAACUGACGCUGAGGAGCGAAAGCGUGGGGAGCGAACAGGAUUAGAUACCCCUGUAGUCCCUGUCUCUUAUAC
This 301-nucleotide ribosomal RNA is filed under the name uncultured bacterium. Its description in RNAcentral is "partial 16S ribosomal RNA". It matches the Rfam family "Bacterial small subunit ribosomal RNA", at positions 509 to 807 of the family's 1533-position model. The record is from RNAcentral.